UACGAGGAGAGCAAGCGUUAUCCGGAUUUAUUGGGCGUAAAGCGUGCGCAAGCGGUUUUAUAAGUGAGAUGUUAAAUACCAAGGCUCAACCUUGGAAUCGCACCUCAUACUGUAAGACUAGAGUCAAUGAGAGGCAAACGGAAUUGCUGGUGUAGUAGUGAAAUGCGUUGAUAUCAGCAGGAACACCAAAAGCGAAAGCAGUUUGCUGGCAUUGUACUGACGCCGUUGCACGACAGCGUGGGGAGCAAACGGG
Molecule: ribosomal RNA, 253 nt
Filed under: uncultured bacterium
Lineage: Bacteria
Description: partial 16S ribosomal RNA
Rfam family: Bacterial small subunit ribosomal RNA
Source: RNAcentral